RNAcentral lists this long non-coding RNA (320 nucleotides) under Felis catus (domestic cat). RNAcentral's name for it is "lncRNA (ENSFCAG00000040614.2)". Lineage: Eukaryota; Metazoa; Chordata; Mammalia; Carnivora; Felidae. The record is from RNAcentral.
CAGCAGCCUGCUGGAAGAAUGUGUUUAGGCUGAGGAAGAUAAAGGUAUAACCUCAGGAGAGGUUAGAAAAUGGGAAUGGCUUUUUUUCACCUCAGAUGCCGCCUCUUAGAUCUUGGAAUCGAGCUCCAAGCAGAUGAUAAAGAAGCUGACAUUUCCCUCUCACAACCCAGAUCAGCUCCUAGGCCAGGUUCCUAAGACUUCUGCUGAUGAGUAGGAGAGCUGCACAAUUAUUGAAGUACAUCCACUCUAAUGAGUCAGCACUGUCUGCCUGACAACAGCUGCAAGAGCUGAAGACAUGGCUUUGCAAACCCAAAAGGAGG